This is a long non-coding RNA of Hylaeus volcanicus, 271 nucleotides long. RefSeq lists it as uncharacterized. The transcript has 4 exons. The record is from RefSeq and is a predicted model, not a curated record. Lineage: Eukaryota; Metazoa; Arthropoda; Insecta; Hymenoptera; Colletidae.
GUGUAGUCAGUGGAUAGAAAACAUGCAGACAAGAAUUGAUUUUAUUUGUACGCACCAAGUGUACUGCUAGCGAUUCUGCUAAAAAAAUAGUAUGACUUUGAAUUCCGUUAAGGGGAAUGUCACAGAAAUUCAAGGAUUAUCUAAUGUUUUAAAUCGUCUGACUGCUAGUUGUUCCUAUCGAUGUUUAUCGUUCGAAACGGCUGGAAUAAACAUGAAUGGCGCAACACUUGGUUUAGCUGAAAUGAGGUGUUUAGACCGCUGUGUUUCCAAA